GAGCCGCGAACGGGUGAGUAACACGUGGGUUACCUGCCUCGAUGACCGGGACAACCCGAGGAAACUCGGGCUAAUACCGGAUGUGCCCGCAAGGGGAAAGGAAGCUUCGGCCUCCGCAUCGAGAUGGGCCCGCGGCCCAUUAGCUUGUUGGUGAGGUAACGGCUCACCAAGGCUUUGAUGGGUAGCUGGUCUGAGAGGACGAUCAGCCACACUGGGACUGAGACACGGCCCAGACUCCUACGGGAGGCAGCAGUGGGGAAUCUUGCGCAAUGCGCGAAAGCGUGACGCAGCAACGCCGCGUGGGGGAAGAAGGCUUUCGGGUUGUAAACCCCUUUCAGUUGGGACGAAGCCUCGUCGGUGAAUAGCCGCGCGGGGUGACGGUACCUUCACAAGAAGCACCGGCUAACUACGUGCCAGCAGCCGCGGUAAUACGUAGGGUGCAAGCGUUGUCCGGAAUUAUUGGGCGUAAAGAGCGUGUAGGCGGCCCGAUUAGUCCGCUGUGAAAGUCCAGGGCUCAACCCUGGAAUGCCGGUGGAUACUGUCGGGCUAGAGUCCGGAAGGGGCGAGUGGAAUUCCUGGUGUAGCGGUGAAAUGCGCAGAUAUCAGGAGGAACACCAAUGGCGAAGGCAGCUCGCUGGGACGUGAC
Molecule: ribosomal RNA, 646 nt
Filed under: uncultured bacterium
Lineage: Bacteria
Description: bacterial SSU rRNA
Rfam family: Bacterial small subunit ribosomal RNA
Source: RNAcentral